UCGUGCAGUGGAUCAUCCGGCUCGGGUUCCUCGUCGUUGCUGUCGGCGUUGCACCGAUCGCCCUGGCGUUGCACGGG
RNAcentral lists this transfer RNA (77 nucleotides) under Plantactinospora mayteni. RNAcentral describes it as "tRNA-Ser". The record is from RNAcentral. Lineage: Bacteria; Bacillati; Actinomycetota; Actinomycetes; Micromonosporales; Micromonosporaceae.